AGUGAACGCUGGCGGUAGGCCUAACACAUGCCAGUCGAACGGCAGCACAGUAAGAGCUUGCUCUUACGGGUGGCGAGUGGCGGACGGGUGAGGAAUACAUCGGAAUCUACUUUUUCGUGGGGGAUAUCGUAGGGAAACUUACGCUAAUACCGCAUACGACCUACGGGUGAAAGCAGGGGAUCUUCGGACCUUGCACGAUUGAAUGAGCCGGUGUCGGAUUAGCUAGUUGGCGGGGUAAAGGCCAACCAAGGCGACGAUCCGUAGCUGGUCUGAGAGGAUGAUCAGCCACACUGGAACUGAGGCACGGUCCAGACUCCUACGGGAGGCAGCAGUGGGGAAUAUUGGACAAUGGGCGCAAGCCUGAUCCAGCCAUACCGCGUGGGUGAAGAAGGCCUUCGGGUUGUAAAGCCCUUUUGUUGGGAAAGAAAAGCAGCAGGUUAAUACCCCGCUGUUCUGACGGUACCCAAAGAAUAAGCACCGGCUAACUUCGUG
This 492-nucleotide ribosomal RNA is filed under the name uncultured bacterium. RNAcentral describes it as "partial 16S ribosomal RNA". It matches the Rfam family "Bacterial small subunit ribosomal RNA", at positions 29 to 507 of the family's 1533-position model. The record is from RNAcentral.